Molecule: ribosomal RNA, 768 nt
Filed under: uncultured bacterium
Lineage: Bacteria
Description: bacterial SSU rRNA
Rfam family: Bacterial small subunit ribosomal RNA
Source: RNAcentral
AUUGAACGCUGGCGGCAGGCCUAACACAUGCAAGUCGAGCGGCAGCGACUUAACUGAACUUCGGGGAACGUUAAGGGCGGCGAGCGGCGGACGGGUGAGUAAUGCCUGGGAAUAUGCCCUGAUGUGGGGGAUAACUAUUGGAAACGAUAGCUAAUACCGCAUAAUCUCUUCGGAGCAAAGAGGGGGACCUUCGGGCCUCUCGCGUCAGGAUUAGCCCAGGUGGGAUUAGCUUGUUGGUGAGGUAAUGGCUCACCAAGGCGACGAUCCCUAGCUGGUCUGAGAGGAUGAUCAGCCACACUGGAACUGAGACACGGUCCAGACUCCUACGGGAGGCAGCAGUGGGGAAUAUUGCACAAUGGGGGAAACCCUGAUGCAGCCAUGCCGCGUGUGUGAAGAAGGCCUUCGGGUUGUAAAGCACUUUCAGUAGGGAGGAAGGUAGUGUAGUUAACACCUGCAUUAUUUGACGUUACCUACAGAAGAAGCACCGGCUAACUCCGUGCCAGCAGCCGCGGUAAUACGGAGGGUGCGAGCGUUAAUCGGAAUUACUGGGCGUAAAGCGCAUGCAGGCGGCCUGUUAAGUCAGAUGUGAAAGCCCGGGGCUUAACCUCGGAAUUGCAUUUGAAACUGGCAGGCUAGAGUCUUGUAGAGGGGGGUAGAAUUUCAGGUGUAGCGGUGAAAUGCGUAGAGAUCUGAAGGAAUACCAGUGGCGAAGGCGGCCCCCUGGACAAAGACUGACGCUCAGAUGCGAAAGCGUGGGGAGCAAACAGG